RNAcentral lists this ribosomal RNA (506 nucleotides) under uncultured bacterium. Its description in RNAcentral is "partial 16S ribosomal RNA". It matches the Rfam family "Bacterial small subunit ribosomal RNA", at positions 30 to 523 of the family's 1533-position model. The record is from RNAcentral.
AUUGAACGCUGGCGGUAGGCCUAACACAUGCAAGUCGAACGGCAGCACAGGAGAGCUUGCUCUCUGGGUGGCGAGUGGCGGACGGGUGAGGAAUACAUCGGAAUCUACUUUUUCGUGGGGGAUAACGUAGGGAAACUUACGCUAAUACCGCAUACGACCUACGGGUGAAAGCAGGGGAUCUUCGGACUUUGCGCGAUUGAAUGAGCCGAUGUCGGAUUAGCUAGUUGGCGGGGUAAAGGCCCACCAAGGCGACGAUCCGUAGCUGGUCUGAGAGGAUGAUCAGCCACACUGGAACUGAGAGACGGUCCAGACUCCUACGGGAGGCAGCAGUGGGGAAUAUUGGACAAUGGGCGCAAGCCUGAUCCAGCCAUACCGCGUGGGUGAAGAAGGCCUUCGGGUUGUAAAGCCCUUUUGUUGGGAAAGAAAUCCAGCUGGUUAAUACCCGGUUGGGAUGACGGUACCCAAAGAAUAAGCACCGGCUAACUUCGUGCCAGCCGCCGCCGUAA